GGGGUUUUGAUAACUUGUUUUGAUAAAAUUUUGAUAACCGUUCGAAAACUAAUAAUAAAAACGGGAACCACCAGGUUCCCGUUCUGACA
RNAcentral lists this unclassified non-coding RNA (89 nucleotides) under Klebsiella pneumoniae subsp. pneumoniae Ecl8. Lineage: Bacteria; Pseudomonadati; Pseudomonadota; Gammaproteobacteria; Enterobacterales; Enterobacteriaceae. The record is from RNAcentral.